CGAGCGCAUCGAAUGAACCGCGGAGCUUGCUGAGCGCUGGCGCUGGUAUUUCUAGAAUUUGCUCUGUGCCUAGCUUGGGCUAGAAGCUUUCCGAACGUUCUGUCAUUGAAUCCUCACUGCAUCCUACAUCUCACCGAGGAAAUACACACUGAAGAUUUGGGGGCAAAGGAGCGUCAUGUCUGCACUUUACUCCAGAUGGUUCUGAAGACGCCACACAGGCUCUCGUCUCUAUGGAGAGAGGACAGAGAGAAGGCUAAGGCCCUUGAGAGAAGCUGACCAGCUGGAUGCAGAGUCCGUCAGGAGGCGACACCGUGCUUGCCGGGAAGCGGUCGUGGCAGCUGAUCGGUCGAUGCUGCAGGUGUCUCAUGCAAGUUACAGCCUUUUAACCAUCUAAUCAGACGAUGUAGCCUCUUGCGGUGCUUCCCAUUUCUCGGUCCUGGUGUAAUGAAAUGGUGCAGCGUGGAGCUGGGUGCCGUCGUGGAAAGCCCAGAGACUCAGGCUCUCACUGCAGCUCUGUUACUGACGUGUGACCAGGAGCAAGCCACUUGCAAGAAAACUGAAAAAUAAAGGGACUGGAUUAGAGAUAUUUUUCUGCAAGAGCUAGAUGCUGUGGAAGAAUGUUGGUGUGACAUAGGUGAGAGGAGUCAUGCAUGACCUUCAGUCCUAAGGAGGGAGAAGGAAUUAUUUGUCGAAAAUAUGACAGGACUGUCAAAAAUAAUUUAAAUGAGGAACAUAAGUUGUGAAACAUGAGUCACCAUUCCGUUCACUCUGAGAUGCUAUAUUCACGGCAAACUUUUCGUCAAAAAAAAAGUGUAAGCGCCAUCGUGAAGUCUAUGGAUGACAACACUUAGUGACAAGAGCAAACUCCAUCAUGGCACUCAAGAAGCCAUCCCCCUACCCCACUCCCAGCCCAUUGGGAGGUUCUACCACUGAGCUGCAAGAGAAGCUCCCAAGAGGUGGCCAAUGAAAGCAAAGCUCUACUUUGCAUAUGCUGUUCCCACUGCCUAGAAUUCUUUUCCCUAUUCCUCUUCCCGCCUCAGGUCCUCAUCAUUCCUUCACUUGACUAAGUCUUACUCAUUCUCUGGUUCUCAAGGUAAAUGUCAUUGCCUUCAGGAAGCCUUCCUGGAAUCCCUAAAGUUCCUCAGGUCCCCCCAAUACAUCUCUCCUGGCCCUUGCACUUGCCCUCCAGGGCUUCAAUCAAAUGGGAACUUACUAAGUAUCAACAAAAUGAAAAGACAACCUGCUGAGUGAGAGAAGAUAUUCGCCAUUGAUACAGCCGAUAAAGGGUUAAUAUCCAAACUAUGUAAGGAACUCAUACAACUUAACACCAAAAAACCAA
This is a long non-coding RNA of Rhinolophus ferrumequinum (greater horseshoe bat), 1339 nucleotides long. RefSeq lists it as uncharacterized. The record is from RefSeq and is a predicted model, not a curated record. Lineage: Eukaryota; Metazoa; Chordata; Mammalia; Chiroptera; Rhinolophidae. The transcript has 4 exons.